Molecule: ribosomal RNA, 511 nt
Filed under: uncultured bacterium
Lineage: Bacteria
Description: bacterial SSU rRNA
Rfam family: Bacterial small subunit ribosomal RNA (bases 181-511)
Source: RNAcentral
UUCCGUUACUUGAAACAGCAUGUGAUUGUGCUGAAUCGGGCAACAAAAAAAUGGGACUUCUGACCGGAAGUCCCGAACAGUUUCAAACUGUCAUUUGGUUCGCUAUUACCCCGGCUUGCGAGGUUUGAGCGAGAGGCGAAAGCUUUUUGUUUGAGUCGCGUGAGUUGGUUAAGCAAACAACAAUUGAAGGGUUUGAUCCUGGCUCAGAAUGAACGUUGGCGGCGUGGAUUAGGCAUGCAAGUCGAGCGGAAAGGCCCGCAAGGGCACUCGAGCGGCGUAAGGGGACAGUAAUGUGUAGGUACGUACCCCUGGGUCUAGGAUAGCUGCGGGAAACUGCAAUUAAUACUAGAUGAUGUCUCCGGACCAAAGGUGUGAUUCCACCCAGGGGAGCGGCCUACAUCCUAUUAGCUAGUUGGUGAGGUGACGGCUCACCAAGGCGAAGAUGGGUAGCAGGUGUGAGAGCACGACCUGCGUCACGUGGGACUGAGACACUGCCCAGACACUACGGUGC